This 763-nucleotide ribosomal RNA is filed under the name uncultured Streptococcus sp. Its description in RNAcentral is "bacterial SSU rRNA". It matches the Rfam family "Bacterial small subunit ribosomal RNA", at positions 28 to 776 of the family's 1533-position model. Lineage: Bacteria; Bacillati; Bacillota; Bacilli; Lactobacillales; Streptococcaceae. The record is from RNAcentral.
GACGAACGCUGGCGGCGUGCCUAAUACAUGCAAGUAGAACGCUGAAGGAGGAGCUUGCUUCUCUGGAUGAGUUGCGAACGGGUGAGUAACGCGUAGGUAACCUGCCUGGUAGCGGGGGAUAACUAUUGGAAACGAUAGCUAAUACCGCAUAAGAGUGGAUGUUGCAUGACAUUUGCUUAAAAGGUGCACUUGCAUCACUACCAGAUGGACCUGCGUUGUAUUAGCUAGUUGGUGGGGUAACGGCUCACCAAGGCGACGAUACGUAGCCGACCUGAGAGGGUGAUCGGCCACACUGGGACUGAGACACGGCCCAGACUCCUACGGGAGGCAGCAGUAGGGAAUCUUCGGCAAUGGACGGAAGUCUGACCGAGCAACGCCGCGUGAGUGAAGAAGGUUUUCGGAUCGUAAAGCUCUGUUGUAAGAGAAGAACGAGUGUGAGAGUGGAAAGUUCACACUGUGACGGUAUCUUACCAGAAAGGGACGGCUAACUACGUGCCAGCAGCCGCGGUAAUACGUAGGUCCCGAGCGUUGUCCGGAUUUAUUGGGCGUAAAGCGAGCGCAGGCGGUUAGAUAAGUCUGAAGUUAAAGGCUGUGGCUUAACCAUAGUAGGCUUUGGAAACUGUUUAACUUGAGUGCAAGAGGGGAGAGUGGAAUUCCAUGUGUAGCGGUGAAAUGCGUAGAUAUAUGGAGGAACACCGGUGGCGAAAGCGGCUCUCUGGCUUGUAACUGACGCUGAGGCUCGAAAGCGUGGGGAGCAAACAGG